This 459-nucleotide ribosomal RNA is filed under the name uncultured bacterium. RNAcentral's name for it is "partial 16S ribosomal RNA". It matches the Rfam family "Bacterial small subunit ribosomal RNA", at positions 338 to 795 of the family's 1533-position model. The record is from RNAcentral.
CCUACGGGUGGCAGCAGUGAGGAAUAUUGGUCAAUGGGCGAGAGCCUGAACCAGCCAAGUCGCGUGAGGGAGUACUGCCCUAUGGGUUGUAACCCUCUUUUGUCGGGGAGCAAAAGCUGGACCUGUUCGGCUGUGAGAGUUCCCGAAGAAAAAGCAUUGGCUAACCCCGUGCCAGCAGCCGCGGUAAUACGGAGGGGGCAAGCGUUAUCCGGAUUUACUGGGGGUAAAGGGGUCGCAGGCGGGGAUGCAAGCCAGGAGUGAAAGCCCGGGGCCCAACCCCGGGACUGCUCUUGGAACUGCGUGGCUGGAGUGCAGGAGAGGCAGGCGGAAUUCGUGGUGUAGCGGUGAAAUGCGUAGAUAUCAGGAAGAACACCGAUGGCGAAGGCAGCCUGCUGGACUGCCACUGACGUUGAGGCCCGAAAGCGUGGGGAGCAAACAGGAUUAGAUACCCUGGUAGUC